Molecule: non-coding RNA, 234 nt
Organism: Pelobates cultripes (western spadefoot toad)
Lineage: Eukaryota; Metazoa; Chordata; Amphibia; Anura; Pelobatidae
Source: the annotation of a GenBank genome assembly
GGGAUGGGCUGACUAGUGACAGAGUGAGGAAGGGGGUGACUAGGGACAGAGGGGGUGACUAGUGACAGAGUGAGGGGGUGACUAGUGACAGUCACCCCUUCCCUCUCUCUGUCACUAGUCACUCCCUCCCUCUGUCACUAGUCACUCCCUCCCUCUGUCACCAGUCACUCCCUCCCUCUGUCACCAGUCACCUCUUCCCUCUCUCACUUUGCCACUAGUCAUCUCUUCCCUCCC